This 561-nucleotide ribosomal RNA is filed under the name Triticum aestivum (bread wheat). RNAcentral describes it as "partial small subunit ribosomal RNA". Lineage: Eukaryota; Viridiplantae; Streptophyta; Magnoliopsida; Poales; Poaceae. The record is from RNAcentral.
AUGGCAGAUCGAGCGACAACCGCGGUGUGGGCGGGCGGCACUAACACGCUGCUCUCGGCCGAGGAGCCGCUCCCGCCGGGCCAACCGCACCCGUCCGUCGCCUGCUCGCCUCCCGCGGCGUCUUCUCCGAGCACACAGACGACGGAGGUCGGAGGCGGUACGCGCUUGUGCUGGCGUGGCCGUGGCUCCACAAGGACGUGCUCGACCCCGCCGGCGCCUAGCCCUUUUCAUGCGCACGCCGGCGUCCCCGCCUACGCCUACUACAGCCAGGACCGGGAGGCGAACGAGGUGAUGCUCGACGAUGAACAUCUGCUCGAGGACAUCCUACUCGACGAUGCUCCUCUUCGCCAGCAUCUCCAACGCGUGAUCAACUCCCCGCAUAGACCCGCGUCGAGGGAGGAGGAAGCAGAGGCUGGCAACAAGGAGCGGGUGUGGGUGCUCAUCCUCGCCGCUGACCACAAGUGCCGUGAGAAACUUUGGGCAGAAUUUGCUGCCUCCACUGGGCUACUCGUUGUCACCUCAUUCAUCUACGCUUGGUGGUUUAGUGUCCUCUUUCGUUAA